UUUCUAUCUACAAUGUUCAAUCCCAACUUUUCUGAGUCCUAGUACGCAAGGAAUGGUCUCAGCGAUGCUCGACUAUAUUGGCCCCAUCGACGUAAUUAACUUCUGGCUGCUGCAAAGAAGGAAAACAAAAGGUUUAGGGAUUAAUAAGGUGCC
Molecule: ribosomal RNA, 153 nt
Filed under: Clavularia grandiflora
Lineage: Eukaryota; Metazoa; Cnidaria; Anthozoa; Malacalcyonacea; Clavulariidae
Also listed under: 4 other names
Description: partial 16S ribosomal RNA
Source: RNAcentral